UUCCGGUUGAUCCCGCCGGAGGCCACUGCUAUCGGGGUUCGAUUAAGCCAUGCGAGUCGAGAGGUGUAAGACCUCGGCGCACUGCUCAGUAACACGUGGACAACCUACCCUCAGGAGGGGGAUAACCCCGGGAAACUGGGGAUAAUACCUCAUAGACCAGGGAUGCUGGAAUGCCUCCUGGUUCAAAGGUCCGCCGCCUGAGGAUGGGUCUGCGGCCGAUUAGGUAGUUGUUGGGGUAACGGCCCAACAAGCCUUUGAUCGGUACGGGUUGUGAGAGCAAGAGCCCGGAGAUGGAUUCUGAGACACGAAUCCAGGCCCUACGGGGCGCAGCAGGCGCGAAAACUUUACAAUGCGAGAAAUCGUGAUAAGGGAACCCCGAGUGCCCGUAAAUUCGGGCUGUCCGCCAGUGCAAAUAGCUGGUGAAGAAAGGGCCGGGCAAGACCGGUGCCAGCCGCCGCGGUAAUACCGGCGGCUCGAGUGGUGGCACUAUUACUGGGCUUAAAGCGUCCGUAGCUUGAUUGUUAAGUCUCUUGGGAAAUCCACCGGCUCAACCGAUGGGCGUUCAGGAGAAACUGGCAAUCUAGGGACCGGGAGAGGUGAGAGGUACUCCAGGGGUAGGAGUGAAAUCCUGUAAUCCUUGGGGGACCACCUGUGGCGAAGGCGUCUCACUAGAACGGCUCCGACAGUGAGGGACGAAAGCUGGGGGAGCAAACCGGAUUAGAUACCCGGGUAGUCCCAGCUGUAAACGAUGCGCGUUAGGUGUAUCGGUGACCACGAGUCAUCGAGGUGCCGAAGGGAAACCGUGAAACGUGCCGCCUGGGAAGUACGGUCGCAAGGCUGAAACUUAAAGGAAUUGGCGGGGGAGCGCCACAACGGGUGGAGCCUGCGGUUUAAUUGGAUUCAACGCCGGG
This 911-nucleotide ribosomal RNA is filed under the name uncultured Methanolinea sp. RNAcentral's name for it is "bacterial SSU rRNA". It matches the Rfam family "Archaeal small subunit ribosomal RNA", at positions 1 to 922 of the family's 1478-position model. Lineage: Archaea; Methanobacteriati; Methanobacteriota; Methanomicrobia; Methanomicrobiales; Methanoregulaceae. The record is from RNAcentral.